Molecule: long non-coding RNA, 214 nt
Filed under: Lathyrus oleraceus (garden pea)
Lineage: Eukaryota; Viridiplantae; Streptophyta; Magnoliopsida; Fabales; Fabaceae
Description: Pisum sativum (pea) long non-coding RNA (PSAT_LNC029918)
Source: RNAcentral
AGGGAUAUCGGGUCUGAGCAAUAUCAAAGGUUGAAAAAACACUACAACAUAACACAACAUCAAACACCAUACACAAACCUUAAACAAAUCAGAAUAACACAAAAUCUCUCCAACCCUCACACUCGUGCCAACCUUUCAUUCUCACUUUAACUCUCACUCACUUCGAACAUGGGAAGAAGAGAAGUAAACAAAAAUAAAACAAAGGAAGCUUACC